GUAGCGGCGAGCGAACGGGGAGCAGCCCAGAGUCUGAAUCAGCUUGUGUGUUAGUGGAACGGUCUGGAAAGUCCGACGGUACAGGGUGAUAGUCCCGUACACCAAAAUGCACAGGCUGUGAACUCGAAGAGUAGGGCGGGACACGUGGUAUCCUGUCUGAAUAUGGGGGGACCAUCCUCCAAGGCUAAAUACUCCUGACUGACCGAUAGUGAACCAGUACCGUGAGGGAAAGGCGAAAAGAACCCCGGCGAGGGGAGUGAAAAAGAACCUGAAACCGUGUACGUACAAGCAGUGGGAGCACCUUCGGGUGUGACUGCGUACCUUUUGUAUAAUGGGUCAGCGACUUAUAUUCUGUAGCAAGGUUAACCGUAUAGGGGAGCCGCAGGGAAACCGAGUCUUAACUGGGCGUUAAGUUGCAGGGUAUAGACCCGAAACCCGGUGAUCUAGCCAUGGGCAGGUUGAAGGUUGGGUAACACUAACUGGAGGACCGAACCGACUAAUGUUGAAAAAUUAGCGGAUGACUUGUGGCUGGGGGUGAAAGGCCAAUCAAACCGGGAGAUAGCUGGUUCUCCCCGAAAGCUAUUUAGGUAGCGCCUCGUGAAUUCAUCUUCGGGGGUAGAGCACUGUUUCGGCUAGGGGGUCAUCCCGACUUACCAACCCGAUGCAAACUACGAAUACCGAAGAAUGUUAUCACGGGAGACACACGGCGGGUGCUAACGUCCGUCGUGAAGAGGGAAACAACCCAGACCGCCAGCUAAGGUCCCAAAGUCAUGGUUAAGUGGGAAACGAUGUGGGAAGGCACAGACAGCCAGGAUGUUGGCUUAGAAGCAGCCAUCAUUUAAAGAAAGCGUAAUAGCUCACUGGUCGAGUCGGCCUGCGCGGAAGAUGUAACGGGGCUAAACCAUG
This 906-nucleotide ribosomal RNA is filed under the name Klebsiella pneumoniae. RNAcentral's name for it is "partial 23S ribosomal RNA". It matches the Rfam family "Bacterial large subunit ribosomal RNA", at positions 243 to 1191 of the family's 2925-position model. The record is from RNAcentral. RNAcentral also lists the same sequence under 1 other name. Lineage: Bacteria; Pseudomonadati; Pseudomonadota; Gammaproteobacteria; Enterobacterales; Enterobacteriaceae.